UCGCGGCUAUUGAAAAAUAUAGAGAAAGCCCUAGUUUUUUCCCUCUUAGGUUACUUUGCCUCCCGAGACUUUUCAAUUAACCCAUCUCUUUCUCUGAUUCUCUCUAGUCCGCCGAUUUCACUCUCUCUCUCUCAACGAGUAGUAUUACAAGUUAGCCAUAGUUCAUCUUUAAUUACUCUGUUGUUUGUUCCUCAGUCUCUCUUUCUUUCUCUAAUCCCUUUCUCUUUCAUUCUCCCUGACGGUUUCUUGGACGAGAGGCGGGACGCGCUGGACAUUUCAAACCCCGGAUCGUCGGUUCUCCGUCUCACAAAGGUCCGAAACCUCUGAAUUUCGAUCUCUUUCUCUGAAUGAAUGUUCGCAAGGAGCUAACCGGACUUCCAGACAUCCACAUGGACUGCACCACCUCUCAGAUCCAGAUGGAUUAGGCACUCACCGCAAUGUUUCAGGAGCCAAAAAAAAAACAUGGUAAUUAACAAACAAAGGGCAUAUCUAUGGUCUUGGAUCAUUUCAAUAUCAAAAUGAUGAUCCUAAUGAGUCUAUUUCUGCUUCUCUUCGUCGAAACUUCAAUGAAGAAAACAUAGAUGUGAUUGCGCGGGACUUGGAUAUGAUUUUAACGCCGUAACGGAGAAGAUUCAGUAACUACUCUUCAAACCAACAAGUCAAGACUCCACGUGCUGAUGGAGCUUUCAUCAACUGCAAGUCCAUCUACACAUGCUGACUCAGCUGUUGGUCCAACACAAGAACCAGUGCAGCACCCAACCGCACCUCUCCGAUCAACCUAUCCAAUAUGACUUUGAUAUCUGUUGAAGUAUUUAAAUUUGGUCUCUACUAAUAUGUCGUUUCAAUGGACUUGAAUCUAUGUAAUUUGUCAUUUAUGUUUUUUUUUUGUAUCUUUAAACCUGUGUAGUUUGGAUAUAAAACUCUAUGGUGUUAAUAAGAUUAAUUGCUUUUAUAUUAUUAGCAAAUUAA
Long non-coding RNA from Camelina sativa (false flax), 969 nucleotides. RefSeq lists it as uncharacterized. NCBI's taxonomy places the organism in Eukaryota, Viridiplantae, Streptophyta, Magnoliopsida, Brassicales, Brassicaceae. The record is from RefSeq and is a predicted model, not a curated record.